GAAAUAACCCAGCUCCCAAAAUGAAGUGUUCAGGCGCGGAUCCCUUCGCAAACGAAUGUAAAUUAUAGGGCUAAAUUCUAAAAAUAAAGUGAAACCAGCCCUGCGCAAUUGAAUACUAGUGCAAACCAAGAGGGCUCAGCGCGCAAUUAGCCACUUAAAACCAAACGCGCUGGUCUAGUACAAGCAUGGGUUGGGUCAUCGGAUUAUGUCGUCCAAACGACGUCGUUUCUGAACCACCGAUAUUGGUUUAAACGGCACCGUUUCUGCCCUUUCAUAAGGGUUAAACAAUGCCUUUAUUUCAUCAGACCAUAUCAGAACCCUAGCCUACCAAUCUUUUCUCCUCAGCCGAACCCUACCUCUUUAGCACUAGCUCCGAUUUGCCUUCUCACACAGCAACCGACUAGUUUGGGCUCCUGAUGAUAAUUUUCGGCCUUGAGAUUCCCCUUUCAACUCCGAUUUCAACGAAGCCAAGAGGAAUCUGUGGCCGAUUCGCAAGGUAUGAAGUGUGCUGGUGCAAGUACGAGGGCUGUGCUGGCGUGUGGAGGCGCGGGCGUGGCUUCUGGAGUUACAGAGCGUACGGAGGCAUUGUCUGGUUGCUUGGCUACGGCGCGAGGGAGCACAUGUGAUGUGGUUAGGCUGCUCGUGAGGACUGCGGCGCAAGGGGCCAUUUGCCCCAGGGUUUGUCGAAAUUUGGCUUAGUUUUUAGGCCGUUUGGGCCUGUUUUGGGUAUUGGGCCAUUGUAUUUGGGCCAUGGAGUAUUGGGUUAGGUUAUUUCGUAAAUGGGCUUGUAAUUGGGCUAUCAGGUUUAUUUAGGGUUGGGUUAGUUAUUAUGCCAAAGUUUGUAAAUAGACAUUUGAUGGACUAUUAACAUUUAUAUUUAAUUUUAAUUUUUUUUUA
This is a long non-coding RNA of Gossypium arboreum, 897 nucleotides long. RefSeq lists it as uncharacterized. The record is from RefSeq and is a predicted model, not a curated record. Lineage: Eukaryota; Viridiplantae; Streptophyta; Magnoliopsida; Malvales; Malvaceae. The transcript is spliced from 2 exons.